Molecule: ribosomal RNA, 471 nt
Filed under: Triticum aestivum (bread wheat)
Lineage: Eukaryota; Viridiplantae; Streptophyta; Magnoliopsida; Poales; Poaceae
Description: partial small subunit ribosomal RNA
Source: RNAcentral
AUGACUUUCCCUUCUUCACGAAGCCAUGUCUUCUCCUACCCCACGCCUUUUCUUUCUCUCCCAAAAAAUAGCAUCACACAAGCUAGGGUUGCCGCCGCCGCCGCUGCCGCGCGCAUCCCAGCUCCUCCAGCGCCCGCCACCGGAGAAGGCGCCCUCCUCUCCCUCGGCGGUUGCCACUCUGGCUGCGGUGGCGCAGGCACAUGGACCGGGCCCGGCUCCAGCCGCGGCAACGCAAGGGGAGAAAGCGAACCCACGCCGAACGGGGUGCUGAUGGUCGACCUGCUGGGGGCGCCGGGAACGCGCUGGGGGCGUGGGACCUGCCUCACACAGGCGCUGCUCGCAGCAGCUGCCAUGGCCUCCACCGUCCGGGGCUAUGGAUGUACUCCCUCCGGUCCUUUUUACUCUGCACAUUGGUUUUGCCGAAAGUCAAACUUUGCUAAGUUUGACCAAAUUUAUAUUAAAAAUUAUUAG